Pocillopora verrucosa is the source of this 161-nucleotide non-coding RNA. The record is from RefSeq and is a predicted model, not a curated record. NCBI's taxonomy places the organism in Eukaryota, Metazoa, Cnidaria, Anthozoa, Scleractinia, Pocilloporidae.
CAGUUGGGGAGCAGGCACAGAUGCAUGGGGACCAAACAAAGAAGAUGGUCAUGCCUCAGCUUGUCACUGUGACGGUCUUGUCGAGGUGGUUGGACUUCAGGGAGUAAUGCACCUAGGUCAAAUUCAAAGUGGAAUCAGGACUGGUAUUCGGCUAGCACAGG